UUUAAAGUAUAAGCAUUAUACCGUGAACUGCGAAUGGCUCAUUAAAUCAGUUAUCGUUUAUUUGAUAAUACCUUACUACUUGGAUAACCGUGGUAAUUCUAGAGCUAAUACAUGCUAAAAAUCCCGACUUCGGAAGGGAUGUGUUUAUUAGAUAAAAAACCAAUGCCCUUCGGGGCUUCUUGGUGAUUCAUGAUAACUUUACGGAUCGCAUAGCCUUGCGCUGGCGACGGUUCAUUCAAAUUUCUGCCCUAUCAACUUUCGAUGGUAAGGUAUUGGCUUACCAUGGUUUCAACGGGUAACGGGGAAUUAGGGUUCGAUUCCGGAGAGGGAGCCUGAGAAACGGCUACCACAUCCAAGGAAGGCAGCAGGCGCGCAAAUUACCCAAUCCCGACACGGGGAGGUAGUGACAAUAAAUACUGAUACAGGGCUCUUUUGGGUCUUGUAAUUGGAAUGAGUACAAUUUAAACCUCUUAACGAGGAACAAUUGGAGGGCAAGUCUGGUGCCAGCAGCCGCGGUAAUUCCAGCUCCAAUAGCGUAUAUUAAAGUUGUUGCAGUUAAAAAGCUCGUAGUUGAAACUUGGGCCUGGCUGGCGGGUCCGCCUCACCGCGUGCACUCGUCCGGCCGGGCCUUCCUUCUGAAGAACCUCAUGCCCUUCACUGGGCGUGUUGGGGAAUCAGGACUUUUACUUUGAAAAAAUUAGAGUGUUCAAAGCAGGCCUUUGCUCGAAUACGUUAGCAUGGAAUAAUAAAAUAGGGCGUGCGUUUCUAUUUUGUUGGUUUCUAGAGACGCCGCAAUGAUUAACAGGAACAGUCGGGGGCAUCAGUAUUCAGUUGUCAGAGGUGAAAUUCUUGGAUUUACUGAAGACUAACUACUGCGAAAGCAUUUGCCAAGGAUGUUUUCAUUAAUCAGUGAACGAAAGUCAGGGGAUCGAAGACGAUCAGAUACCGUCGUAGUCUUGACCGUAAACUAUGCCGACUAGGGAUCGGGGCGAUGUUCUUU
This 1000-nucleotide ribosomal RNA is filed under the name Exserohilum rostratum. RNAcentral's name for it is "SSU rRNA". It matches the Rfam family "Eukaryotic small subunit ribosomal RNA", at positions 58 to 1069 of the family's 1831-position model. Lineage: Eukaryota; Fungi; Ascomycota; Dothideomycetes; Pleosporales; Pleosporaceae. The record is from RNAcentral.